UUUGUCAGGCUAAGAGUCUCUCUCUUAUUGGCUUUGAAAAAGCAAGUUGCCACACUGUGAGUUGCUUAUGAAGAAGGCCGUAUCACAAAAACUGAGGACAGACUCUCGUCAACAGCCAGCAACUGAGGCCUUUUGUCCAAGAACAUGCAAGAAACUGAAUGCUGCUAACAACUAUGUUAACUUAGAAGUGAGUCCUUUCCCAAUCAAGCCUUCAGAUGAGACCCCAGCCCAAGUUGACAUCUUGAAUGCUGCCUUGAAGAGUGCCUGGACAGCAGACCCACAGAGACGGUGGAAUAAUAAAUGUCUUAUGUAUCAACAAAAUCACACCAGACCACCCAAAGCUGGCCCUGCCAACUGACCACACACACCCCUGCCUGAAAGGCAUGUUUCAAUGUGCAACAGACGCCUGCCACUCAGGGGACAUCAAAUGUUCAUGAGAACUCGCUAACCUCGAAACAGGUUCUACAAAUUCAAAAAAACCACCCGUGGCCUGGCUCUGGGCUGAAGCUGAGUCCUGGCUUGAAAUCCCCUGCCUUAAUCUCUCUUCGAAGACUUUUCUGCAUUCAUCUGAGUCCUCAUCCUCCAAGGCAGGGCUCAGGCUUGGGCUCAGGCUCCCAGCCAUGUAUCCCUCCUGGACCAUUCCUGACUCCUUUCCAGUAUCCUUAUCACUUGUACCACAUACGUUGGCCUUUGAUCCUGUGUACUGUUGGAUUUGUCUUUACUUCACAGGUUCAUCUUGUCUCCCCAAGAACAAUGAGAGUUGCCUCAAGGGGUAGAACCAUGCUUUUUGUUUUCUUUUGAAUUCAUUACAGCACAGCCAAAAGCUCAACACACAAAACACACUCAGUAAAUAUCUGUUGAACAGAAUAAAAGCCAUUCCGCAUAACCAACCCUGAUCUCUUUUGCUGGACUGUAAACCAACCUACCUAUUGUUAGUCCUUCACAGAUUAUAUGGUGGAUCUGAACACAUCAGGUAGAACCUUUGAUAAACUUAAAGUCCUUCAUUGAAUCACUCUGUAGCCACUGUUUUCUCUAGGACAAAAGCUUUAAAUAUUUUGAGAAAAUUGUACAAGACCAUCCAUCCUGAUUCUCAUGGCUUUGGUUGUUCAGAAAGGAAAUCUUUGUACACACACCAUUUCACUGCCUCCUUUUCAGUUUCCCAAUUUGGAAAAAGGAAAAAUGUGAACUAUCCCCCUCUUCGCGUUCUUUUCUAACUGAAGUGAUAGAUUUCAGAGUCGUAUAAAGCUAAGAUUAUCGUUUAUCAUAUCUCAG
Molecule: long non-coding RNA, 1272 nt
Filed under: Homo sapiens (human)
Lineage: Eukaryota; Metazoa; Chordata; Mammalia; Primates; Hominidae
Description: HSALNT0001989
Source: RNAcentral